RNAcentral lists this ribosomal RNA (489 nucleotides) under uncultured bacterium. RNAcentral's name for it is "partial 16S ribosomal RNA". It matches the Rfam family "Bacterial small subunit ribosomal RNA", at positions 28 to 507 of the family's 1533-position model. The record is from RNAcentral.
GAUGAACGCUAGCUACAGGCUUAACACAUGCAAGUCGAGGGGCAGCAUGAACUUAGCUUGCUAAGUUUGAUGGCGACCGGCGCACGGGUGAGUAACACGUAUCCAACCUGCCGAUGACUCGGGGAUAGCCUUUCGAAAGAAAGAUUAAUACCCGAUGGCAUAGUUCUUCCGCAUGGUAGAACUAUUAAAGAAUUUCGGUCAUCGAUGGGGAUGCGUUCCAUUAGGUUGUUGGCGGGGUAACGGCCCACCAAGCCUUCGAUGGAUAGGGGUUCUGAGAGGAAGGGCCCCCACAAUGGGACUGGGGCACGGGCCAAACUCCUACGGGAGGCAGCAGUGAGGAAUAUUGGUCAAUGGACGAGAGUCUGAACCAGCCAAGUAGCGUGAAGGAUGACUGCCCUAUGGGUUGUAAACUUCUUUUAUACGGGAAUAAAGUGAGGCACGUGUGCCUUUUUGUAUGUACCGUAUGAAUAAGGAUCGGCUAACUCCGUG